AUAUUAAAUUUAUGUUCGGGUUCUCGGGUAUCCUAUUUGGAUAACGGUAAUCUCCGGACCGACCUGAUACCCACGGGUUUACUAAAAUUUUACCCAUUGAGGUAAUUUCUUAAAACUCUAACCCGCCCCAACCCGAUUUUUUCAGUUCGGGUAUCAGAUUGGGUAUCGGAUCCGGUUUUUUUGCCCACCCCUAGGUACGUGCGGGAGAAAUAUAUUUGCGGGACAAGUCCGGUUUGAUCAAAAUAAGCGGUACAAAAUAAUGUUUGAUUGGUGAAAAAAUUAUUUGCGGUGCGAAAUAUAAAUUAUAUAUAU
This 312-nucleotide small RNA is filed under the name Arabidopsis thaliana (thale cress). Its description in RNAcentral is "ATSL031010". Lineage: Eukaryota; Viridiplantae; Streptophyta; Magnoliopsida; Brassicales; Brassicaceae. The record is from RNAcentral.